Long non-coding RNA from Podarcis raffonei (Aeolian wall lizard), 1262 nucleotides. RefSeq lists it as uncharacterized. NCBI's taxonomy places the organism in Eukaryota, Metazoa, Chordata, Lepidosauria, Squamata, Lacertidae. The transcript is spliced from 2 exons. The record is from RefSeq and is a predicted model, not a curated record.
GACUAUAGUUUUAUCACAUUAUAAGCAACAUGGUGAGAGUGGAAAGAAGGAAUCUUAGAAAAACUAUUGGUAUCAGGUUUUUCGUAUGAUCCCAUGCUGCAGAUACCCCUCCCUUCAUUCCUCACCAUUGGCCAUGCCGCCUGGGACUGAUGGUAACUGGAGUCCCAACAACAUCGUGGGAGAUCCCUGAACUAGAGCAUGACAAAGACAAGCCCUAAUAAUAGGAUUUCAUUACUAUGCUUAUCUGGGAAUGAGCCUACGAGGUGCGGGAGCGGAACAAUGUAGUCAGAUAACGAGGGUUUGGGGUGACAUCUUUUAAUUUAGCUUUUAAUUUCCUUAUAAUGCAGGAUUUACACUGCAGCCCGUGGCAGCUCCUUGCAGUAUCACGGUGAACCUGGGAUGCUAUGAUAAUUGGUAACUAUUACAUCUGAUGUAUCAUAAUGACUUGGCAUAUCACAUUGCUAGGUCUUGUGUUAAUUUUCCUGGUCCACCAAAUGUUGACAAAUGUCAAAGUAAACUUGUGUUCCCUGUGGAUUUCAUUUUUCUUUUGUAGAUUUCUAAAAGCAUAAUAACUGUCAUGAAAUCUGGCAGCCGGGCACUGGGAUAUUUUUAAGUCUCUGGUUUCAGGCAAAAUUCCUAGAACGGAUCAGAUUCCAUUAUCUGAAACUGACUCUAAAGCAAGAGACCUCAUUACUAGGAAAGAAAGAAAAAAAAGACUGUUGUGCGAUGCCUAUGAAUUCUGGUUCAUGAGUAUUUCCAACCAAUUCUUUUGACAUUUAGUGUAACACUGAGUUUCUGUAGAACAAGAAAAGGUAACUGUAGCUAUCUGCGUGGAGCGUUCAUGGGGAUGCAGAUUGUUCAUGAAUAAUAAUUUUGAGCACAAAUUCUUGCUCCAGAGAUGCUAUCUUCAUGCAUGGUUCCAGUAAAUUAAGAACCCCACAUAUUAUGAUCCAAGAAUGCAUAGGGACCUUAUGUUUCAGAUCCAUGAUCUUGGCAUACUUGGGUCCACGUGAAUCAGCUGUGUUGAUAUUGUUCAGGCUGUUAGGCCUCUGCUCCUAAAACUAACACAGGUGAGCUGUAUGACCUGCCUAUCAAACAUUAAAGGAUGCUAACCCGCCAACAGGUUGUGGGCCAUCAACCACCCUGACUUGGACAGGUUUUUUACUGUUUACUACUAAAGAUAGCUGCUGCUGUUUUUAUCUAUUAUUAUUUUUUUGUACCCCACUGUUCAGGUACCUAACAGCAAAAAAAUAUUGACACAA